This 497-nucleotide ribosomal RNA is filed under the name Philautus juliandringi. Its description in RNAcentral is "partial 16S ribosomal RNA". It matches the Rfam family "Bacterial large subunit ribosomal RNA", at positions 1901 to 2573 of the family's 2925-position model. Lineage: Eukaryota; Metazoa; Chordata; Amphibia; Anura; Rhacophoridae. The record is from RNAcentral.
CCAGCCUGCCAGUGAUAAAUUCAACGGCCACGGUACCCUAACCGUGCAAAGGUAGCAUAAUCACUUGUUCUUUAAAUAAGGACUAGUAUCAACGGCAUCACGAGGGUCGCACCGUCUCCUUUCUCUAAUCAGUGAAACUGAUCUUCCCGUGAAGAAGCGGGAAUAAAACUAUAAGACGAGAAGACCCCAUGGAGCUUUAGACUUCCAGCAACCAUAUUAUAUACCCCCCCACAACACAAAGUUAUGCCCACUAGUCUUAGGCUGGGGCGGCCGCGGAGUAAAAAACAACCUCCAUGACGAAAGAACUAAAUUCUUAUCUGCGAAUCACUAAUCUAAGAAUUAGAACACUAACGUACAAUGACCCGACAAACGAUUAACGAACCAAGUUACCCUGGGGAUAACAGCGCAAUCUAUUUCGAGAGCCCAUAUCGACAAAUAGGUUUACGACCUCGAUGUUGGAUCAGGGUACCCCAGUGGUGCAGCCGCUACUAAUGGUU